AGGGCGAACGCUGGCGGCGUGCUUAACACAUGCAAGUCACGGGGGCUCGCAAGAGCAACCGGCGAACGGGUGCGUAACACGUGAGCGACCUGCCGAUCAGAGGGGGAUAGCCGGCCCAACGGCCGGGUAAUACCGCAUACGCUCUUGCCUGGGCAUCUGGGGAAGAGGAAACCUCGGGGCUGAUCGAGGGGCUCGCGGCCUAUCAGCUAGUUGGUGUGGUCAUGGCACACCAAGGCGACGACGGGUAGC
Molecule: ribosomal RNA, 249 nt
Filed under: uncultured soil bacterium
Lineage: Bacteria
Description: partial 16S ribosomal RNA
Rfam family: Bacterial small subunit ribosomal RNA
Source: RNAcentral